AUUCUUUUAGUAUAAAAAGUAUAAUUGAUUUCCAAUCAAAAGGUUAAAAUUUAAAAGAAUA
This 61-nucleotide transfer RNA is filed under the name Sivaloka damnosus. RNAcentral's name for it is "tRNA-Gly". The record is from RNAcentral. Lineage: Eukaryota; Metazoa; Arthropoda; Insecta; Hemiptera; Issidae.